RNAcentral lists this ribosomal RNA (429 nucleotides) under uncultured bacterium. Its description in RNAcentral is "bacterial SSU rRNA". It matches the Rfam family "Bacterial small subunit ribosomal RNA", at positions 355 to 776 of the family's 1533-position model. The record is from RNAcentral.
UCGAGAAUCAUUCGCAAUGGGCGCAAGCCUGACGAUGCGACGCCGCGUGUGGGAUGGAGGCCUUCGGGUCGUAAACCACUGUCACGGGGGAAGAACCAUACAGAUAAUAAAAUGUCUGUAUCUGACGUUACCCCGAGAGGAAGCCACGGCUAACUCCGUGCCAGCAGCCGCGGUAAUACGGAGGUGGCGAGCGUUGUUCGGAUUUACUGGGCGUAAAGGGUGUGUAGGCGGCUGAACGUGUUCGGUGUGAAAUACCCCGGCUUAACUAGGGAACUGCAUCGAAAACUGUUCGGCUUGAGUGCAGGAGAGGAGAAUGGAAUUUCCGGUGUAGCGGUGAAAUGCGUAGAUAUCGGAAGGAACGCCAGUGGCGAAAGCGGUUCUCUGGCCUGCAACUGACGCUGAGGCACGAAAGCCAAGGUAGCAAACGGG